Molecule: small nucleolar RNA, 85 nt
Filed under: Oryza sativa (Asian cultivated rice)
Lineage: Eukaryota; Viridiplantae; Streptophyta; Magnoliopsida; Poales; Poaceae
Description: Z192 small nucleolar RNA
Rfam family: Small nucleolar RNA U83
Source: RNAcentral
GAGGCCUAUGAUGAUCAAUGUGGAAACCUUUCUCUCUGAAAUCUUGUGAGGACAUACCCUACUACUGCCUUCCUUCUGAGGUCUC